RNAcentral lists this microRNA (21 nucleotides) under Cavia porcellus (domestic guinea pig). Its description in RNAcentral is "cpo-miR-507c-5p". Its record names the gene cpo-miR-507c-5p. The record is from miRBase by way of RNAcentral. Lineage: Eukaryota; Metazoa; Chordata; Mammalia; Rodentia; Caviidae.
CACUUCAUGGAGUGCCAUCCA